GGUUAAUUCGAUGCUACACGAAGAACUUACCUGGGCUUGACAUGUAUGAGAAAGCUGGAAGAAACUCUGGCCCUCUUGUGGAGCAAUCCACGAGACCCAUACACAGGUGCUGCAUGGUUGUCGUCAGCUCGUGUCGUGAGAUGUUCGGCUAAGUCCGCUAACGAGCGCAACCCUCGCUGUGUGUUAUAUGCGUCACACGGGACUGCCGGUUUUAAGCCGGAGGAAGGUGAGGAUGACGUCAAGUCAGCAUGGCCUUUAUGUCCUGGGCUACACACACGCUACAAUGGUCAGCACAAUGGGUCGCUAAGCCGCAAGGUGGAGCCAAUCCUCAAAGUUGGCCUCAGUUCAGAUUGUAGGCUGCAACUCGCCUGCAUGAAGAUGGAGUUGCUAGUAAACGCAGGUCAGCUAUACUGCGUUGAAUACGUUCCCGGGGCUU
This 436-nucleotide ribosomal RNA is filed under the name uncultured Atribacterota bacterium. Its description in RNAcentral is "bacterial SSU rRNA". It matches the Rfam family "Bacterial small subunit ribosomal RNA", at positions 943 to 1382 of the family's 1533-position model. Lineage: Bacteria; Pseudomonadati; Atribacterota. The record is from RNAcentral.